GCAUGCCUUACACAUGCAAGUCGAACGGCAGCGGGGGUAGCUUGCUACCUGCCGGCGAGUGGCGAACGGGUGAGUAAUACAUCGGAACGUGCCCUGUAGUGGGGGAUAACUAGUCGAAAGACUAGCUAAUACCGCAUACGACCUGAGGGUGAAAGUGGGGGACCGCAAGGCCUCAUGCUAUAGGAGCGGCCGAUGUCUGAUUAGCUAGUUGGUGGGGUAAAGGCCCACCAAGGCGACGAUCAGUAGCUGGUCUGAGAGGACGAUCAGCCACACUGGGACUGAGACACGGCCCAGACUCCUACGGGAGGCAGCAGUGGGGAAUUUUGGACAAUGGGGGCAACCCUGAUCCAGCAAUGCCGCGUGUGUGAAGAAGGCCUUCGGGUUGUAAAGCACUUUUGUCCGGAAAGAAAUCGCUUCGGUUAAUACCUGGAGUGGAUGACGGUACCGGAAGAAUAAGGACCGGCUAACUACGUGCCAGCAGCCGCGGUAAUACGUAGGGUCCAAGCGUUAAUCGGAAUUACUGGGCGUAAAGCGUGCGCAGGCGGUUGUGCAAGACCGAUGUGAAAUCCCCGGGCUUAACCUGGGAAUUGCAUUGGUGACUGCACAGCUAGAGUGUGUCAGAGGGAGGUAGAAUUCCACGUGUAGCAGUGAAAUGCGUAGAGAUGUGGAGGAAUACCGAUGGCGAAGGCAGCCUCCUGGGAUAACACUGACGCUCAUGCACGAAAGC
This 727-nucleotide ribosomal RNA is filed under the name Ralstonia solanacearum. RNAcentral describes it as "bacterial SSU rRNA". It matches the Rfam family "Bacterial small subunit ribosomal RNA", at positions 42 to 760 of the family's 1533-position model. Lineage: Bacteria; Pseudomonadati; Pseudomonadota; Betaproteobacteria; Burkholderiales; Burkholderiaceae. The record is from RNAcentral.